UCAUUCAUUGUCUACAAAGCUAUUUCUAUUACAAAAUAUACUUUAAAAUCUGAAGGAAAAAAAAACACCAAACCAAAAACAUUUACAACUAGACAAGUUAAUGUCCUUUAAUUUGUGUCAGUGACCAUGAGGUGUCAAAUUGCCAAAAGAUUCUUCAAGUGCUCUCUUUCUCCUAUUCUUUUUAUUUCUUUUUAUUUUUUUAUAAGAUUUAGGCAUUGAGGCACUCACACAUCUAUCUAUAUAUAGCUCUCACAUUGAUCAUUUCUUUCACUCACUAGCAAUUAAGCACUCUUUACUCACUCCUCCCAUAUCUUGAUUCUUCAAGCAUUCUAUUUUCCCAGUUUCUGUUCAAUUUUCAUUACCCUUUGCUAAAGCAAUGGCCACUGUUGAGGUUGCACCAACAGCAACGUUGCAAGAGAAUGAGGCAAAGACAAUUGAGGUGAUCAAGACUGAGGACAAAACCCCGGAAGAGCCUGUGGCUGCAGCACCAGCUGCUGUCCCUGAGUCUGAGGCUGCAACCACCGAAGAGCCAGAGUUAAACACACCAGUAGAAGCAGAAGCAGAGGCAGAGGCACCUGCUGCUCCUGAAGCUGAAGCUCCAGUUCCAGCUGAAGUUGAGACCAAGGAGGUGGCAGAGGAACACAAGGCUGCUGAGGGUGAGGCAGAGGAGCCAGCAGCAACAGAAACAGAGAAAACAGAGAAAAUAGAGGCAGAAGAAGAGCCCAAAGAGGUCACAGCAGCGGAGCCUGUUGCUGCUGUUGCAGAGGAAACCAAAGAAGAGACCACUGAAAGUGCUGAGACACCAGCAGCUCCUCCUGCAGAGGAAACUACCACAGAUGUUCCGGUCGAGAAGACUGAGGAGUAGAAGAUUUAUGACAUCAUCACCAUCAUCAUCAUCAUCAUCAUCAUCAUCAUCAUCAUCAUCAGAGAAGUUUGUUUGUGGGGGUGGCCCGGGUGGGGGUUAUUUUCUAGGUUGCAUGUCCAAUUUGGUCAGCUUCUUAGCUACAUUUAUAUUUUGGUUUUUAGUUGAUAAUGGAGUAAGGUUUUAAAUUAGUGGGGUUUGGCAUUUGGAAUCUACGCUUAUUUUAAGCUUUAUAUCAUAUGUGUUCAAGACGAUGGCAUGCAUGGUGUUAGAUUGAAGUAAGUGGAAUUGGUGUGAAGAAGAGAUGUGAUUUCUGUUAGUUUUGAAUAAUAUUUAUUUAUGCACUUAUAAUA
Non-coding RNA from Prunus avium (sweet cherry), 1215 nucleotides. The record is from RefSeq and is a predicted model, not a curated record. NCBI's taxonomy places the organism in Eukaryota, Viridiplantae, Streptophyta, Magnoliopsida, Rosales, Rosaceae.